CAAGUUGCCAUUGAAAACAUUAUGAAUCGUUUUAAAAACAUGAAAAUGCGUACAGAGCAACUAUUAAAUGCAUUUUUUAUAUAUUUCAACUGACUUUGUUAUUUUAUUAUGUGAUUUUAUUCAAUGACAUUGUAUUUUUACUGAAUUGCUUUUAUUAUGUGAUUUGACCCGACCCGACCCGACUAGAUCCAAACCGAUCCAAAAAGUUUGACUCCAGGUAACUAUAAUUUGGGGGUAUCCAUAAAAAAUGACACCAUAAGAAAAAAUUUCUAGCUCCGCCACUGAUAGUUGGGACAUAAUUCGCCACCUAAGAACAUGAAUAGAAGGCUACAUUACCCCCUUGCUUGAUCCACCAUGGUUCGCAUGGAUUAAGACUAUGGGGUAUGGGGGCGUGGGUUGGGUUUGGUUAAUGGGCUAAGACUUAGUGGGGAAGCUAGUUAGGAAUUAUAAGUGGGUAAGUGUACGGUUAUUUGGGUUUAGUUAGUUAGGUAUUAAAAAUUAUAUAAUUUAGUUAGUAUUCUUUUUAAAUAAGAGUUUACUAAAAAAAUUAAAAUAUAAAUUGAUAACACUUUUUACCUAAGGGGUGCGGACAAAAAAUUUCAAGGGGUGCGGUCGAAAAUUCCAAGGGGUGCGAACGAAAAAUUUCAAUGGGUGCGGACGGGAUUUUCGACGGAAUUUAGCACUAAAUUUUUUUUUCCUUGGGGGUGCGCCCGCCCACCUUGGGCUGGGCUUGGUCCGCCCCUGCGGGUGGGCUUGGGUUUCGGCAUGGCCCCUUGGGCGGGGGUUUCAUCCCGGACGUUGGGCAUAGCUACCCACAUGACAUGGUGGAACCUCAUUGGCCAAGAACACUAGCCCUUUGAAAUUGGCUUUUUUUCCACGCCACCCAGCCACGCACCACCAUACCCCUUUGUAAAUUGGCUUUUGGUCUUGAGUGCCCCAUACUCCACGUGUCGCACCAUGCCCCCAACCCACGCCCCACCAUACCCCACGGUCUAAACCAUGGCAACCAUGGUCCUCCUUUCCAUUUUUCAAAAAAUCAUUUCCUUUUUCUUUAAACAAAGAUAAAUUAAAAUAAAUAAGGGGUUAAUGGUUUGAGUCAUGACCACACCCUUAGAGUAGUGGUUUUGAACGGUGGAUUAGAGAUAUGUUACAUGGUACUGACGUGGAGGGUAAUGGCGAUCACGAGGGUCAUGACCACACCCUAUAGUCUUAGGGUACGGUUUUAGAGUUAUGAGGCCCAAGAGAAGUGGAUGGAAAUGUCUCGAUGAGCUGAAUUAUGUGGCUCGCCCGACAUACCCAAACUCUCUAUGAUUUAAGGCUUUAUUCAAAUAGGAGAAAAAUUUACAUCGAAAUAGUUGGUAAACGGGCAACAAGCUGCGCCGCUACCCCUUUUUGAAUAGCAAAACUAAGCCUUUUAAAAACUAAGUUCAUAGAUCUCGGGGUCAUAACAUUACUAUGCAUGACCCUUUGAACUCGAUUAAGUAGGUCCACAGCCUCUGGCGCCAGAAAACCAAAAGUAUCAAAAGCAAAUGGGAUAAACACGUGUUGGUUGUCAAGGCACGCUUUCUCAUGUUUGGUCACUUUAGCCGAAGCAGCCUUUAAAGCAGCCUGACCCACCGUGAAAGCACUACCCCCUAAGCCCACAAGCGGGGAAACCCCUGUUAGAUCCACACAGGCAUGUUUUCCUCCUACCCAUUCAAAGACCAGAAUAUCGGCCGGUCGAAGGGUAGAUCUCCCUUCCAACGGGUCUGUUAAGAAAUUAACGGGUGCCUCUUUGAUUUUAUUAAUGAAGAUUUUCCCCUAAUUUUAUCAAUCCUUU
RNAcentral lists this long non-coding RNA (1819 nucleotides) under Helianthus annuus (common sunflower). RNAcentral's name for it is "hypothetical non coding rna". The record is from RNAcentral. Lineage: Eukaryota; Viridiplantae; Streptophyta; Magnoliopsida; Asterales; Asteraceae.